Molecule: non-coding RNA, 1821 nt
Organism: Peromyscus maniculatus bairdii (prairie deer mouse)
Lineage: Eukaryota; Metazoa; Chordata; Mammalia; Rodentia; Cricetidae
Source: RefSeq, a predicted model, not a curated record
CUUGAGCUCAUACAAGCAGAGUUCUGUGCAGGGAGAUAUCUAGAGAAGGUUUCUUUAGCUCUCUGCUUAUAUGAUGUAUCUGUUCUGUCUGAUACUGAAGCAGUUUCGAGAAAAGUGGAUGUUGGAAGAGAUCUCAUAAGACCUUAGAGUUUAACCCAUAUUUAACUUCUAGGAGGUAAAGGAGUCAUUUGGCCAGCCAAGUACUGAGCCAUGAAAAGAGUAUUGAUGGUACAAGGACUUGGAAUCAGAAUCUCUAGUUUUUAUCUACCAUGUGGUGGUAAUUUUGGGGACUACUUAAGAAAAUUGAAUUACAGAGGCUGACUAGAUUUUAAGAUCAGGACAUAACUCUCAAAAAAUUCUCCAGCACCAUGUCUGCCAUACCUGCUGCUGUGCUCCCUCCAAAGUUAAUGAACUAAGCAUUUGGAACGUUGAACCACUGUUCCACUCCUUCUUGUUAUAUUCAUUUUGAAGGCUGGCCAAAUAUCUAUCUAGGAGAAAAGAUUAAACAAAAUUCAUUGAGAGACCCCGCAUUUGGUUCCCAGCACCUACAUCUCAUGACUCACAACAAUCUGUAACUGAAGUUCUUGGGGAUCGGAUGACUAUUCUAGCAUUCACAGGCACCCACAUGCACGUGCUAUACAUGCUGAUGCUCAGAUAGACUUUGACAAGGAGACAUCUGGGCCUGCUGCAUGUCAUCAUAAACCACAUUUCUACUCUAGUUAUUUCACAUCAUAGACCAGCAUCACUCAGAAUUCAAAUGCCAUGAAGGAGAAGAGAAUACCAUAAUCAUCAGUGGUUGACCUGAUAUUGUGAAAUUCUGAGUUAUAUAAAGAUAAAUGCUAAAGUCAUAUAUUCUAGAUUUGAAGAACUUUUUGCCUGAUCUGAUUCUCUUCUUUUGUAGUUCCCUGAUCCAAGGGGGGAGGAGUUUGAUUAAGGCAUCCCAUUUAGGACUGAGUGCCCCAAAAUCUUCCACUCUCUGCACAAAGUCUGAUGAAUGGAAUUCCAUUGUGUAUGUAUAUGGCAUUUCCAUCAUCCAUUCACCUGUUGAAGAAUAUUGAAGUUGUUUCCACAUCCUAGCUCUUGUACAAAGAAUGGCAAUGAACCUGGUCUUUCACUUAAUUUGGAACUUUUAUGAGCUUACUGUGCAGUGAACUUCCAGUCUGCAUCCUCUCAGCAAUGAAUUCUAGUGAUUGUCCUGUUUGCACCUAUUCAGCACUGGAAUUACUGGCAUGUAACCACAUCUGCCUUUUUGCCGGGAUAAUGAAGACUGAAGUCAUAUCCUCAUUCUUGUCUAAGCUCAUCCAGAGACAUUUCCCCAGUCCCCAGAAUUACUAUUAUUAUUACAAAAUAUGCUAUAGUCACUGUUUUAUUCAGCUCAUUUAUUACUUUGAAGUAUGUCUGCUUUGACUUCUAUAGUAGGUUUACACUUUAUAAAUUCAUUUCACUUCUUUUGUGUGUAUGUGUAUGUGUGCUGGGGUGUAUACAUAUUAGGUAAAACUAGGGCAGUGGAUUUCUUCUUUUCUUGCAUUAUACUACAUUUCUUUAAGAUAGGGACUCUCACAGGACCCUAAGAUUGCUGCUGACAGGGUGGAAGCUUGUGGCCCACAAGCCCCAGUGAUCCUCCUGCCUCUCCUCUACCUGAUACUGGAUUUACAUUUGGAAUCAGCCACACUCAGCUUUUUAUUUCAGUGACAGAGACCCAAACUGAGGUCCUCAUGCUUCCACAGCCAGCAAUAUGCCUCACCAAGCCACCUACCUAUCCCAAUAACUUUAAUAUAUAUUUUCCAAUGAUGUUGAGAAUUUAGCAGCAUACACUACUAA